AAGUCGUAACAAGGUUUCCGUAGGUGAACCUGCGGAAGGAUCAUUACAAACAUGUAAAGAUGGAUUGACUUGUUGAAUCUGUGAGAGGUGGUAGUGAGAGUGUGAGAGUGGGGUGAGAUGUGAGAUAUAUAUAUAAAAAAUAGAUUUCAUGUUUCGCUUUUUCACCCACCACCACCACCACCACAUUAACAAACUAGUAUAUUGAUUGACAGAGGAUAAAAAAUAAAAAAUAAAAAAAACAACUUUUAACAAUGGAUCUCUUGGUUCUU
RNAcentral lists this unclassified non-coding RNA (269 nucleotides) under fungal sp. RNAcentral's name for it is "partial internal transcribed spacer region". The stretch from base 1 to 46 matches the Rfam family "Eukaryotic small subunit ribosomal RNA", at positions 1786 to 1831 of the family's 1831-position model. Lineage: Eukaryota; Fungi. The record is from RNAcentral.